Molecule: long non-coding RNA, 530 nt
Organism: Triticum dicoccoides
Lineage: Eukaryota; Viridiplantae; Streptophyta; Magnoliopsida; Poales; Poaceae
Exons: 2
Source: RefSeq, a predicted model, not a curated record
UUUUAGGCAAGAACGACCUGUCGAAAAACAAGACUCUGGCAGAUGUUCUAGUUCGUUCAGACAAACACCCGAAGGCCUGAAGAGUACCGAUUUACCAGCUAACGAAUAUCUGGAUACAAGUCAUCUGAUCAACUAGGAAGCCGAUGGUGGAUGGAUGUUUACCAAGCUCUCAUUUUGGGGAAUACAUGGAGAAGUUUGGGUUUGCUGUAGUUAGCUGCUGCACUUGUCUCGUUUUGGGGAAAUUUGUGGGAGUGCUUCCAGUUCACACUAGAACAUUCCAGUGGUUUAAUCAGCGUGUAGUGAUCAUCAGAGAACACCACCAUGCUUGCUCUGUUUACCCGCCCACUCUGUUGUGAGGCGGCAGCUUUGAGCCUUUGACGAAGUGAUGUUUGUUUUCCGUUGUGUAAAGUUGGAGGAUCUCCUGCGAUGAUAGAAACGACGUCAUCGUAAUGCUUAGCUUCAUAUAUGCAUGAUAUUGCGUCUUAUAGAUCUGUUGUUGGAAAAUCAAUCUGCUAGAGGAUAUUCUGUUA